CACGAAAAAUAUUUCAAUUAUUAUAUUCAUUACAAUCGCCUUUUACAAUCUAUAAUACCGACCCUUAUAACAAUCAUGAGAUUCCCUAAUCUAAUUUAUUAUGAUACCACAAUAUUGCCAUAAGCAAAACUUAUACUUUUCAUGUGUUUUAGUUAAUGGCCAAAAAGUAUUAGGAUUAGCUUAUACUUUGCAUAAGAUUGCAGUUUUGAAAAUAUUUCCCGCCAAGAGACAGCAUCGUAAACAAGACGAGUGAAUUGAAAACGCAAACUUUUUCCCAGAAACAUCCUUAUAAACUAACUUUAUCAGUUCCAGAUCCCCAUCGAAAUCGGGCUCCCGGUCCGAGUAAGGUUCGAGAAGUCGCUGCCGUUUACGUUUUUCAGUCCAGACACAGCAGAUGCCGCAGUAGCAGCUCAAGAAAACCGCUGCAGCCGAUCCGGUUCCUGGUCAAAAUCUAGCAAUCUCUAAGGAUCGUUAGUUGUUGCGAUUUGGAGGAGCAAGUGGACAGCAUCGAAAGACCCAUGAAAACCGAUCGCCAAGGAUAAAACCUGAAGUGGAAUGCGUUCGAGGAAAAGAAUCCGCAAGCACCAGGAGGCGGUUGCGACUUCUAAACGAUCUCAUGUUGGCGCACAAAACCGGAACUCGUCUCAAAUGAAAUCCCGAGCGGAGCGACAUCGACUCGAUCAAGGAUAACGUCGCUGGUAGCUCGGCUGGGUCAACAAUGAGUCGUUGGAAUAGGUACCGUACCUAAAGCCUGCCGUAACCAAAUACAUUCGCUGAAUCUCGAUCCGAAGAGUUAUCUCGAUGUUAUUCAAUUCAGUGGUUUAAAUGAUGAAUAAAUUAAUUACAAAAAUAUAUGUGUUUGUUCUUGAUUAUACUAACUGAAGGAAGAAAAAGAAGGAGGGACAUUCAAAACCUAAAUAUGUAAUAGGUUUUAUUAGUUGCAACACAUUCAUAAUAUUAAAACUCUAAUAACAAUCAUUAGCGGUACUGAUUGUCUGUAUUAGGUUUACCUUAUACUUUUUAUUUCUGGUAUCUUAUAUAAUUCAUUACAUUCAUUCAUAUGGUUCAUUAGGUAAACGAAAUGGCAAAAAUUUAUAACAUUUUCUUAUAAAUUCUAUAAUGAUUUUUCUUUUCGU
Long non-coding RNA from Aedes albopictus (Asian tiger mosquito), 1136 nucleotides. RefSeq lists it as uncharacterized. The record is from RefSeq and is a predicted model, not a curated record. The transcript is spliced from 3 exons. Lineage: Eukaryota; Metazoa; Arthropoda; Insecta; Diptera; Culicidae.